RNAcentral lists this ribosomal RNA (301 nucleotides) under uncultured bacterium. Its description in RNAcentral is "partial 16S ribosomal RNA". It matches the Rfam family "Bacterial small subunit ribosomal RNA", at positions 509 to 807 of the family's 1533-position model. The record is from RNAcentral.
CAGUCGCCGCGGGAAUACGAAGGGUGCAAGCGUUACUCGGAAUUACUGGGCGUAAAGCGUGCGUAGGUGGUGGUUUAAGUCCGUUGUGAAAGCCCUGGGCUCAACCUGGGAAUUGCAGUGGAUACUGGGUCACUAGAGUGUGGUAGAGGAUAGUGGAAUUUCCGGUGUAGCAGUGAAAUGCGUAGAUAUGCGGAGGAACACCGAUGGCGAAGGCAGCCCCCUGGGCCAACACUGACGCUCAUGCACGAAAGCGUGGGGAGCAAACAGGAUUAGAGACCCCGGUAGUCCCUGUCUCUUAUAC